Molecule: ribosomal RNA, 2171 nt
Filed under: Escherichia fergusonii
Lineage: Bacteria; Pseudomonadati; Pseudomonadota; Gammaproteobacteria; Enterobacterales; Enterobacteriaceae
Description: partial 23S ribosomal RNA
Rfam family: Bacterial large subunit ribosomal RNA
Source: RNAcentral
GGGUUGUGAGGUUAAGCGACUAAGCGUACACGGUGGAUGCCCUGGCAGUCAGAGGCGAUGAAGGACGUGCUAAUCUGCGAUAAGCGUCGGUAAGGUGAUAUGAACCGUUAUAACCGGCGAUUUCCGAAUGGGGAAACCCAGUGUGAUUCGUCACACUAUCAUUAACUGAAUCCAUAGGUUAAUGAGGCGAACCGGGGGAACUGAAACAUCUAAGUACCCCGAGGAAAAGAAAUCAACCGAGAUUCCCCCAGUAGCGGCGAGCGAACGGGGAGGAGCCCAGAGCCUGAAUCAGUGUGUGUGUUAGUGGAAGCGUCUGGAAAGGCGCGCGAUACAGGGUGACAGCCCCGUACACAAAAAUGCACAUACUGUGAGCUCGAUGAGUAGGGCGGGACACGUGGUAUCCUGUCUGAAUAUGGGGGGACCAUCCUCCAAGGCUAAAUACUCCUGACUGACCGAUAGUGAACCAGUACCGUGAGGGAAAGGCGAAAAGAACCCCGGCGAGGGGAGUGAAAAAGAACCUGAAACCGUGUACGUACAAGCAGUGGGAGCCUCUUUAUGGGGUGACUGCGUACCUUUUGUAUAAUGGGUCAGCGACUUAUAUUCUGUAGCAAGGUUAACCGAAUAGGGGAGCCGAAGGGAAACCGAGUCUUAACUGGGCGUUAAGUUGCAGGGUAUAGACCCGAAACCCGGUGAUCUAGCCAUGGGCAGGUUGAAGGUUGGGUAACACUAACUGGAGGACCGAACCGACUAAUGUUGAAAAAUUAGCGGAUGACUUGUGGCUGGGGGUGAAAGGCCAAUCAAACCGGGAGAUAGCUGGUUCUCCCCGAAAGCUAUUUAGGUAGCGCCUCGUGAAUUCAUCUCCGGGGGUAGAGCACUGUUUCGGCAAGGGGGUCAUCCCGACUUACCAACCCGAUGCAAACUGCGAAUACCGGAGAAUGUUAUCACGGGAGACACACGGCGGGUGCUAACGUCCGUCGUGAAGAGGGAAACAACCCAGACCGCCAGCUAAGGUCCCAAAGUCAUGGUUAAGUGGGAAACGAUGUGGGAAGGCCCAGACAGCCAGGAUGUUGGCUUAGAAGCAGCCAUCAUUUAAAGAAAGCGUAAUAGCUCACUGGUCGAGUCGGCCUGCGCGGAAGAUGUAACGGGGCUAAACCAUGCACCGAAGCUGCGGCAGCGACACUAAGUGUUGUUGGGUAGGGGAGCGUUCUGUAAGCCUGUGAAGGUGUGCUGUGAGGCAUGCUGGAGGUAUCAGAAGUGCGAAUGCUGACAUAAGUAACGAUAAAGCGGGUGAAAAGCCCGCUCGCCGGAAGACCAAGGGUUCCUGUCCAACGUUAAUCGGGGCAGGGUGAGUCGACCCCUAAGGCGAGGCCGAAAGGCGUAGUCGAUGGGAAACAGGUUAAUAUUCCUGUACUUGGUGUUACUGCGAAGGGGGGACGGAGAAGGCUAUGUUGGCCGGGCGACGGUUGUCCCGGUUUAAGCGUGUAGGCUGGUUUUCCAGGCAAAUCCGGAAAAUCAAGGCUGAGGCGUGAUGACGAGGCACUACGGUGCUGAAGCAACAAAUGCCCUGCUUCCAGGAAAAGCCUCUAAGCAUCAGGUAACAACAAAUCGUACCCCAAACCGACACAGGUGGUCAGGUAGAGAAUACCAAGGCGCUUGAGAGAACUCGGGUGAAGGAACUAGGCAAAAUGGUGCCGUAACUUCGGGAGAAGGCACGCUGAUAUGUAGGUGAAGCGACUUGCUCGUGGAGCUGAAAUCAGUCGAAGAUACCAGCUGGCUGCAACUGUUUAUUAAAAACACAGCACUGUGCAAACACGAAAGUGGACGUAUACGGUGUGACGCCUGCCCGGUGCCGGAAGGUUAAUUGAUGGGGUUAGCGGUAACGCGAAGCUCUUGAUCGAAGCCCCGGUAAACGGCGGCCGUAACUAUAACGGUCCUAAGGUAGCGAAAUUCCUUGUCGGGUAAGUUCCGACCUGCACGAAUGGCGUAAUGAUGGCCAGGCUGUCUCCACCCGAGACUCAGUGAAAUUGAACUCGCUGUGAAGAUGCAGUGUACCCGCGGCAAGACGGAAAGACCCCGUGAACCUUUACUAUAGCUUGACACUGAACAUUGAGCCUUGAUGUGUAGGAUAGGUGGGAGGCUUUGAAGUGUGGACGCCAGUCUGCAUGGAGCCG